RNAcentral lists this ribosomal RNA (407 nucleotides) under bacterium enrichment culture clone LiUU-15-384. RNAcentral describes it as "bacterial SSU rRNA". It matches the Rfam family "Bacterial small subunit ribosomal RNA", at positions 509 to 916 of the family's 1533-position model. The record is from RNAcentral.
CAGCAGCCGCGGUAAUACAGAGGGUGCAAGCGUUAAUCGGAUUUACUGGGCGUAAGGCGUGCGUAGGCGGCUAUUUAAGUCGGAUGUGAAAGCCCUGGGCUUAACCUGGGAACUGCAUUCGAUACUGGGUAGCUGGAGAUCGGUAGAGGGCGGCGGAAUUCCGGGUGUAGCGGUGAAAUGCGUAGAUAUCCGGAGGAACACCGAUGGCGAAGGCAACCGCCUGGGCCUGAUCUGACGCUGAGGCACGAAAGCGUGGGGAGCAAACAGGAUUAGAUACCCUGGUAGUCCACGCUGUAAACGAUGAGAACUUGACGUCCGCUUGCUCUGCGAGUGGGUGUCGAAGCUAACGCGCUAAGUUCUCCGCCUGGGGAGUACGGCCGCAAGGUGAAACUCAAAUGAAUUGACGG